GACGAACGCUGGCGGCGUGCUUAACACAUGCAAGUCGAACGCUGAAGCCCAGCUUUUGUUGGGUGGAUGAGUGGCGAACGGGUGAGUAACACGUGAGUAACCUGCCCCCUUCUUUGGGAUAACGCCCGGAAACGGGUGCUAAUACUGGAUAUUCACUGGUCUUCGCAUGGGGUUGGUGGAAAGGGUUUUUCUGGUGGGGGAUGGGCUCGCGGCCUAUCAGCUUGUUGGUGGGGUGAUGGCCUACCAAGGCUUUGACGGGUAGCCGGCCUGAGAGGGUGACCGGUCACAUUGGGACUGAGAUACGGCCCAGACUCCUACGGGAGGCAGCAGUGGGGAAUAAUGCACAAUGGGCGCAAGCCUGAUGCAGCGACGCCGCGCGAGGGAUGGAGGCCUUCGGGUUGUGAACCUCUUUCGCUCAUGGUCAAGCCGCAACAAUGGUUGUGGUGAGGGUAGUGGGUAAAGAAGCGCCGGCUAACUACGUG
RNAcentral lists this ribosomal RNA (482 nucleotides) under uncultured bacterium. RNAcentral's name for it is "partial 16S ribosomal RNA". It matches the Rfam family "Bacterial small subunit ribosomal RNA", at positions 28 to 507 of the family's 1533-position model. The record is from RNAcentral.